Molecule: ribosomal RNA, 502 nt
Filed under: uncultured Glomeromycotina
Lineage: Eukaryota; Fungi; Glomeromycota
Description: partial small subunit ribosomal RNA
Rfam family: Eukaryotic small subunit ribosomal RNA
Source: RNAcentral
CCAAUAGCGUAUAUUAAAGUUGUUGCAGUUAAAAAGCUCGUAGUUGAAUUUCGGGGUUUGUCAGUUGGUCGGGCUUCACUGUCCGUACCGACUUGAUGGAUCCCUACCUUCUGAAUAACCAGCAUGCUAUUAAGUUAGUGCGUUGGGGAAGCAGAUCUAUUACCUUGAAAAAAUUAGAGUGCUUAAAGCAAGCUAGUGCUUGAAUAGAUUAGCAUGGAAUAAUAAAAUAGGACGGCAUGGUUCUAUUUUGUUGGUUUCUAGGAUCACCGUAAUGAUUGAUAGGGAUAGUUGGGGGCAUUAGUAUUCAAUUGUCAGAGGUGAAAUUCUUGGAUUUAUUGAAGACUAACUUCUGCGAAAGCAUUUGCCAAGGAUGUUUUCACUAAUCAAGAACGAAAGUUAGGGGAUCGAAGACGAUCAGAUACCGUCGUAGUCUUAACCAUAAACUAUGCCGACUAGGAAUCGGACGAUGUUAAUUUUUUAAUGACUCGUUCGGCACCUUACG